GAUGAACGCUGGCUACAGGCUUAACACAUGCAAGUCGAGGGGAAACGACGGGGAAGCUUGCUUCCCCGGGCGUCGACCGGCGCACGGGUGAGUAACGCGUAUCCAACCUGCCUCUGACUGAGGGAUAACCCGUCGAAAGUCGGCCUAAUACCUCAUGGUAUCGUCUGCGGGCAUCCAACGACGAUUAAAGAUUUCAUCGGUCAGGGAUGGGGAUGCGUCUGAUUAGCUUGUUGGCGGGGUAACGGCCCACCAAGGCUACGAUCAGUAGGGGUUCUGAGAGGAAGGUCCCCCACAUGGGAACUGAGACACGGGGCAAACUCCUACGGGAGGCAGCAGUGAGGAAUAUUGGUCAAGGGGCGAGAGCCUGAACCAGCCAAGUAGCGUGCAGGAAGACGGCCCGAUGGGUUGUAAACUGCUUUUAUGCGGGGAUAAAGUGAGGGACGGGUCCCUCAUUGCAGGUACCGCAUGAAUAAGGACCGGCUAAUUCCGUG
Molecule: ribosomal RNA, 491 nt
Filed under: uncultured bacterium
Lineage: Bacteria
Description: partial 16S ribosomal RNA
Rfam family: Bacterial small subunit ribosomal RNA
Source: RNAcentral